This 1216-nucleotide ribosomal RNA is filed under the name human gut metagenome. RNAcentral's name for it is "bacterial LSU rRNA". It matches the Rfam family "Bacterial large subunit ribosomal RNA", at positions 788 to 1984 of the family's 2925-position model. The record is from RNAcentral.
GUUGAAAAAUUAGCGGAUGACUUGUGGCUGGGGGUGAAAGGCCAAUCAAACCGGGAGAUAGCUGGUUCUCCCCGAAAGCUAUUUAGGUAGCGCCUCGUGAAUUCAUCUCCGGGGGUAGAGCACUGUUUCGGCAAGGGGGUCAUCCCGACUUACCAACCCGAUGCAAACUGCGAAUACCGGAGAAUGUUAUCACGGGAGACACACGGCGGGUGCUAACGUCCGUCGUGAAGAGGGAAACAACCCAGACCGCCAGCUAAGGUCCCAAAGUCAUGGUUAAGUGGGAAACGAUGUGGGAAGGCCCAGACAGCCAGGAUGUUGGCUUAGAAGCAGCCAUCAUUUAAAGAAAGCGUAAUAGCUCACUGGUCGAGUCGGCCUGCGCGGAAGAUGUAACGGGGCUAAACCAUGCACCGAAGCUGCGGCAGCGACGCUUAUGCGUUGUUGGGUAGGGGAGCGUUCUGUAAGCCUGUGAAGGUGUACUGUGAGGUAUGCUGGAGGUAUCAGAAGUGCGAAUGCUGACAUAAGUAACGAUAAAGCGGGUGAAAAGCCUGCUCGCCGGAAGACCAAGGGUUCCUGUCCAACGUUAAUCGGGGCAGGGUGAGUCGACCCCUAAGGCGAGGCCGAAAGGCGUAGUCGAUGGGAAACAGGUUAAUAUUCCUGUACUUGGUGUUACUGCGAAGGGGGGACGGAGAAGGCUAUGUUGGCCGGGCGACGGUUGUCCCGGUUUAAGCGUGUAGGCUGGUUUUCCAGGCAAAUCCGGAAAACCAAGGCUGAGGCGUGAUGACGAGGCACUACGGUGCUGAAGCGACAAAUGCCCUGCUUCCAGGAAAAGCCUCUAAGCAUCAGGUAACAUCAAAUCGUACCCCAAACCGACACAGGUGGUCAGGUAGAGAAUACCAAGGCGCUUGAGAGAACUCGGGUGAAGGAACUAGGCAAAAUGGUGCCGUAACUUCGGGAGAAGGCACGCUGAUAUGUAGGUGAAGCGACUUGCUCGUGGAGCUGAAAUCAGUCGAAGAUACCAGCUGGCUGCAACUGUUUAUUAAAAACACAGCACUGUGCAAACACGAAAGUGGACGUAUACGGUGUGACGCCUGCCCGGUGCCGGAAGGUUAAUUGAUGGGGUUAGCGGCAACGCGAAGCUCUUGAUCGAAGCCCCGGUAAACGGCGGCCGUAACUAUAACGGUCCUAAGGUAGCGAAAUUCCUUGUCGGGUAAGUUCC